CGCCCGCUCAGAAACUCAAAGGAAUUGACGGGGGCCCGCACAAGCGGUGGAGCAUGUGGUUUAAUUCGAUGAUACGCGAGGAACCUUACCUGGGCUCAAAUGUAUGUUUGACGUAUUCUGAAAGGGAUACUUCUUCGGACAAUAUACAAGGUGCUGCAUGGUUGUCGUCAGCUCGUGCCGUGAGGUGUCGGGUUAAGUCCCAUAACGAGCGCAACCCCUAUCAUUAGUUGCCAUCAGGUCAAGCUGGGGACUCUAAUGAAACUGCCUACGCAAGUAGUGAGGAAGGUGGGGAUGACGUCAAAUCAGCACGGCCCUUACGUCCAGGGCUACACACGUGCUACAAUGGCCGAUACAGAGGGCAGCUACCUGGUGACAGGAUGCAAAUCUCCAAAGUCGGUCUCAGUUCGGAUCGGAGUCUGCAACCCGACUCCGUGAAGUUGGAUUCGCUAGUAAUCGCGCAUCAGCCAUGGCGCGGUGAAUACGUUCCCGGGCCUU
This 495-nucleotide ribosomal RNA is filed under the name uncultured Sphingobacteriales bacterium. RNAcentral's name for it is "bacterial SSU rRNA". It matches the Rfam family "Bacterial small subunit ribosomal RNA", at positions 887 to 1382 of the family's 1533-position model. Lineage: Bacteria; Pseudomonadati; Bacteroidota; Sphingobacteriia; Sphingobacteriales. The record is from RNAcentral.